AAUUAUUAGAUUAACUAAGAUUCCUUAGUAAUGGCGAAUGAACCGGGAAAAGCUCAAAUUUAAAAUCAUUUAACAAAAUGAAUUGUAGUUUAAAAAUGUUUAAUUAAAAAUUUUAAAUUUAUUAAUUUAAUUGGAAAAUUAAAACAAAGAGGGUUAUAUUCCCGUAUAUAUAAAUSUAUAAAAUUUAAUAAUUAUUCAUUAAAGAGUCAGAUUGUUUGGGAUUACAGUCUAAAUUAGGAGGUAAAUUUCUUUUAAAGCUAAAUAUUGGCAAGAGACCGAUAGCGAACAAGUACCGUAAGGGAAAGAUGAAAUAGAACCUUGUAAAGGGGUUUAAACAGAAAGUGAAAUCGUUAAGAGGGAAACAUUUAAAACUCGAAAUAAAAUUUUAAAUUAUUAUAAUUUAUAAUAAAAUUUAAAAUUUUUAAAUCUCAAUAAUUAUUAAAUUUGUUUAAAAAUUAAUAUUAUAACAAGGUUUCAAUCAAAGUAUUUAAACUUAAAAAUAAUAUUUUAUUAAACGAAAUUGAUAAUAAUAAAUCAUUUAUUACAUUUUCAUAUUWUUAUUAUUAAUUAAUAAUCUUUUUAAGAUUAAUAAUUAAAUAAUUUAAAUACAAAUGAUAUGAUAUUUAUAUUGAUAAUAGAGUUUUAAAUGACCCGUCUUGAAACACGGACCAAGGAGUCUAACAUAUCGGCGAGUACUAUAAUUAAAAAAUUAUAAUGCGUAAUGAAAGUAAAUUCAAGGUAGGAAUUUUUAAUUAAAUGCACUAUCGACCGAUUUCAUUAGGAUUCUUCCUAGAAAUUUGAGUUAGAGCAGACAUGUUGGGACCCGAAAGAUGGUGAACUAUGCUUGAAUAGGGUGAAGCCAGAGGAAACUCUGGUGGAAGCUCGUAGCGAUUCUGACGUGCAAAUCGAUCGUAAAAUUUGGGUAUAGGGCGAAAGACUAAUCGAUCCAUCCAGGCGU
This 958-nucleotide ribosomal RNA is filed under the name Capillidium rhysosporum. RNAcentral's name for it is "eukaryotic LSU rRNA". It matches the Rfam family "Eukaryotic large subunit ribosomal RNA", at positions 53 to 951 of the family's 3401-position model. The record is from RNAcentral. Lineage: Eukaryota; Fungi; Entomophthoromycota; Entomophthoromycetes; Entomophthorales; Capillidiaceae.